This 91-nucleotide transfer RNA is filed under the name Bacillota bacterium. Its description in RNAcentral is "Firmicutes bacterium tRNA-Ser". It matches the Rfam family "tRNA". From Rfam's summary of the family: Transfer RNA (tRNA) molecules are approximately 80 nucleotides in length. Their secondary structure includes four short double-helical elements and three loops (D, anti-codon, and T loops). The record is from RNAcentral. Lineage: Bacteria; Bacillati; Bacillota. RNAcentral also lists the same sequence under 2 other names.
GCGGUGAUACCCAAGAGGCUCAAGGGGCGCCCCUGCUAAGGGCGUAGACGUGUUACAGCGUGCGAGGGUUCAAAUCCCUCUCACCGCGCCA